This 214-nucleotide ribosomal RNA is filed under the name uncultured bacterium. RNAcentral's name for it is "partial 16S ribosomal RNA". It matches the Rfam family "Bacterial small subunit ribosomal RNA", at positions 524 to 737 of the family's 1533-position model. The record is from RNAcentral.
UACGUAGGGUGCGAGCGUUAAUCGGAAUUACUGGGCGUAAAGCGCGCGUAGGCGGGUCUGUAAGUUGAUUGUGAAAUCCCUGGGCUUAACCUGGGACGUGCAGUCAAAACUGCAGAUCUUGAAUGUCUGAGAGGAUGGCGGAAUUCCCGGUGUAGUAGUGAAAUACGUAGAUAUCGGGAAGAACACCUGAGGCGAAGGCGGCUAUCUGGCGGCA